UACAGAGGUGGCAAGCGUUGUUCGGAAUUACUGGGCGUAAAGGGCGCGUAGGCGGUCUUGUAAGUCCUGUGUGAAAGCCCUGGGCUCAACCCAGGAAGUGCACUCGAAACUGCGAGGCUAGAGUACUGGAGAGGUUGGUGGAAUUCUCGGUGUAGAGGUGAAAUUCGUAGAUAUCGAGAGGAACACCGGUGGCGAAGGCGGCCAACUGGACAGAUACUGACGCUGAGACUCGAAAGCGUGGGGAGCAAACAGG
This 253-nucleotide ribosomal RNA is filed under the name uncultured bacterium. RNAcentral describes it as "partial 16S ribosomal RNA". It matches the Rfam family "Bacterial small subunit ribosomal RNA", at positions 524 to 776 of the family's 1533-position model. The record is from RNAcentral.